GGGGUUGUGGCUCAGUGGUAGAGUGCUUGCCUAGCAUGUGUGAGACACUGGGUUCGACUCUCAGCACCA
Non-coding RNA from Ictidomys tridecemlineatus (thirteen-lined ground squirrel), 69 nucleotides. The record is from Rfam. Lineage: Eukaryota; Metazoa; Chordata; Mammalia; Rodentia; Sciuridae.